CCUACGGGGGACUGCAGUGAGGAAUAUUGGUCAAUGGCCGUAAGGCUGAACCAGCCAAGUCGCGUGAAGGAAGGAGGAUCUCUGGUUUGUAAACUUCUUUUAUAGGGGAAUAAAGGUAUCCACGUGUGGAUGUUUGCAUGUACCCUAUGAAUAAGCAUCGGCUAACUCCGUGCCAGCAGCCGCGGUAAUACGGAGGAUGCGAGCGUUAUCCGGAUUUAUUGGGUUUAAAGGGUGCGUAGGUUGUUUUUUAAGUCAGCGGUGAAAGUUUGGGGCUCAACCAUGAAAUUGCCGUUGAAACCGGAGGGCUAGAGUGCGGUUGAGGUAGGCGGAAUGUGUGGUGUAGCGGUGAAAUGCAUAGAUAUCACGCAGAACACCGAUUGCGAAGGCAGCUGACUAAUC
Molecule: ribosomal RNA, 399 nt
Filed under: uncultured bacterium
Lineage: Bacteria
Description: partial 16S ribosomal RNA
Rfam family: Bacterial small subunit ribosomal RNA
Source: RNAcentral